GACUUUAUAAACUUAUACUCUAAUUAAUGUUAAUUUAGAGUUAUUUUGAUAUUGAUUUUUAAUUUUAGGGUGAAAUCAGAAAUUAUUUUUAUUUAAACUCUAAAUUUUAAGAUUUAGUAAACAAACCAGAUUAGUACCUGGUUAGAUAAAAUUUAAAAGAGCAGGAGUAAAGUUAUAUUUAAACUGUAAGAAUAUUGGCAGGUUUUUAAAUUAUCUUUGGAGGCUGAGUAGUGAUUGAGAGCCCUCAUUUUCAACUUUUUCUUUAGGCGCAUGUAUGAUCGUUUAUUUUAUUCUUAAGGAUUGUAAUUUUAGUCUUUGCUAUAAAAAUAGAUAGAUAUCUGGCUUAUGAGAAAGAUUUAAUUUGGCCUACAAUAAUUUAAUUUUUGGAUUCUAGUUUUAGAGGCUAGAUGAAAUUGUAAAAGACAGUAAGUUGCUUUUAAUGGGUGGCUGAAGUUUAUUUAAAAAC
This 466-nucleotide ribosomal RNA is filed under the name Anisakis pegreffii. RNAcentral's name for it is "partial 12S ribosomal RNA". The record is from RNAcentral. Lineage: Eukaryota; Metazoa; Nematoda; Chromadorea; Rhabditida; Anisakidae.